CCUACGGGAGGCAGCAGUGGGGAAUUUUGGACAAUGGGCGAAAGCCUGAUCCAGCAAUGCCGCGUGAGUGAAGAAGGCCUUCGGGUUGUAAAGCUCUUUUGUCAGGGAAGAAACGGUGAAAGCUAAUAUCUUUUGCUAAUGACGGUACCUGAAGAAUAAGCACCGGCUAACUACGUGCCAGCAGCCGCGGUAAUACGUAGGGUGCAAGCGUUAAUCGGAAUUACUGGGCGUAAAGCGUGCGCAGGCGGUUUUGUAAGUCUGAUGUGAAAUCCCCGGGCUCAACCUGGGAAUUGCAUUGGAGACUGCAAGGCUAGAAUCUGGCAGAGGGGGGUAGAAUUCCACGUGUAGCAGUGAAAUGCGUAGAUAUGUGGAGGAACACCGAUGGCGAAGGCAGCCCCCUGGGUCAAGAUUGACGCUCAUGCACGAAAGCGUGGGGAGCAAACAGGAUUAGAUACCCUGGUAGUCCACGCCCUAAACGAUGUCUACUAGUUGUCGGGUCUUAAUUGACUUGGUAACGCAGCUAACGCGUGAAGUAGACCGCCUGGGGAGUACGGUCGCAAGAUUAAAACUCAAAGGAAUUGAGGNGUGAGAGUAGACGACGACGACGACGAGGGAGGAGG
RNAcentral lists this ribosomal RNA (620 nucleotides) under uncultured bacterium. RNAcentral describes it as "bacterial SSU rRNA". It matches the Rfam family "Bacterial small subunit ribosomal RNA", at positions 338 to 951 of the family's 1533-position model. The record is from RNAcentral.